Molecule: long non-coding RNA, 214 nt
Filed under: Mytilus galloprovincialis (Mediterranean mussel)
Lineage: Eukaryota; Metazoa; Mollusca; Bivalvia; Mytilida; Mytilidae
Source: RNAcentral
GCACAUGGUUGCAUACCUGGUUUGUUAUUGUAUGAUUUGAUUGGCUAUUGUAUGUCGCAAUGCAGGUAUUCUACCCGUUUGUACGAGGGUAGGAUCGUGAUUCUCGUGCAGAAUCUCAUUAUAAAUAUAAGAUAUUUUUAUAACCAGUUAUUCGAAGUUCUGCCUUUACAGAGUAGCAUACCUUCCGUUUCGUUAUACACAUCCCCCACCCACC